RNAcentral lists this ribosomal RNA (253 nucleotides) under uncultured bacterium. RNAcentral's name for it is "partial 16S ribosomal RNA". It matches the Rfam family "Bacterial small subunit ribosomal RNA", at positions 524 to 776 of the family's 1533-position model. The record is from RNAcentral.
UACGUAGGGGGCAAGCGUUGUCCGGAUUUAUUGGGCGUAAAGAGCGUGUAGGCGGUCAGGUAGGUCCGUUGUGAAAACUCGAGGCUCAACCUCGAGACGCCGAUGGAAACCAUCUGACUAGAGUCCGGAAGAGGCGAGUGGAAUUCCUGGUGUAGCGGUGAAAUGCGCAGAUAUCAGGAGGAACACCAAUGGCGAAGGCAGCUCGCUGGGACGGUACUGACGCUGAGACGCGAAAGCGUGGGGAGCAAACAGG